GAAACACGGACCAAGGAGUUUAAAAAUCAUGCAAGUCGUUAAAUUGAAAAUUUAAGGGCGUAAUGAAAUGUGAAUAUUGCGAAAUGUUAAGUUUAGCAAUGUUCUGCGUAAUACUAUAUUAUGUAGAAAUAGAGCAUGAUUUUUAAGACCCGAAAGAUGGUGACCUAUGCCUGGACAAGAUGAAGCCAGAGGAAACUCUGGUGAAGGUCUGAAGCAAUUCUGACGUGCAAAUCGAUUGUCCGAUCUGGGUAUAGGGGCGAAAGACUAAUCGAACCAUCUAGUAGCUGGUUCCCUCCGAAGUUUCCCUCAGGAUAGCUGGUGCAUAAUUGUUAUUCUCAUCCGGUAAAGCGAAUGAUUAGAGGUAUUGGGGUUAAUGUGAUCUCAACCUAUUCUCAAACUUUCAAUGGGUGAGUGUAAUUCUUUCUUUGGUGAAGAUUUACAAACGAUACAUGUGCUAAGUGGGCCAUUUUUGGUAAGCAGAACUGGCGCUGUGGGUUGAACCAAACGUUAAGUUAAGGUAUUGAAAUUGUAUUGCAUAUCGGAUUCCAGAAAGGGUGUUGGUUGCUGAAGACAGCAGGACGGUGGCCAUGGAAGUCGGA
This 599-nucleotide ribosomal RNA is filed under the name Proarctacarus oregonensis. RNAcentral's name for it is "eukaryotic LSU rRNA". It matches the Rfam family "Eukaryotic large subunit ribosomal RNA", at positions 656 to 1265 of the family's 3401-position model. Lineage: Eukaryota; Metazoa; Arthropoda; Arachnida; Mesostigmata; Arctacaridae. The record is from RNAcentral.